GAUGAACGCUGGCGGCGUGCCUAAUACAUGCAAGUCGAGCGAACGGACGAGAAGCUUGCUUCUCUGACGUUAGCGGCGGACGGGUGAGUCACACGUGGAUAACCUACCUAUAAGACUGGGAUAACUUCGGGAAACCGGAGCUAAUACCGGAUAAUAUUUUGAACCGCAUGGUUCAAAAGUGAAAGACGGUCUUGCUGUCACUUAUAGAUGGAUCCGCGCUGCAUUAGCUAGUUGGUAAGGUAACGGCUUACCAAGGCAACGAUGCAUAGCCGACCUGAGAGGGUGAUCGGCCACACUGGAACUGAGACACGGUCCAGACUCCUACGGGAGGCAGCAGUAGGGAAUCUUCCGCAAUGGGCGAAAGCCUGACGGAGCAACGCCGCGUGAGUGAUGAAGGUCUUCGGAUCGUAAAACUCUGUUAUUAGGGAAGAACAUAUGUGUAAGUAACUGUGCACAUCUUGACGGUACCUAAUCAGAAAGCCACGGCUAACUACGUG
Molecule: ribosomal RNA, 497 nt
Filed under: uncultured bacterium
Lineage: Bacteria
Description: partial 16S ribosomal RNA
Rfam family: Bacterial small subunit ribosomal RNA
Source: RNAcentral